CAGGUGGGCUGAUCCGGCUACUGAAGCAAUUUCAGCGCUGGGUGGACUAUUAGAUUGCACAUCUUCAAAGAAGAUUCCAUCUACCUUUAAGGAGUUAAUUAAAUUCGCACCAAGCAAGCCUGCACGUGAGACUUUGCAGGACAAGAGGAAGCCAACAAUGUUGCUCAGCAGGCUGGGAUAUUCAUCUCUGGCCAGAAAAGCAACACACACACACACACACCAUGGAGGGGACGGGGGCAGGUGAGACAGAAGGACAUGUCAAUUAAAUAAACGUGUCAGCAUCACUCCUUACUCAGGUGCACACAUACAUGUCAGUCAAAUAAAUUUGCAUCUUAAUAGCACUUAGUGAUGACGAUAUACACACUAAAAGAACUACAG
Molecule: long non-coding RNA, 378 nt
Filed under: Hordeum vulgare
Lineage: Eukaryota; Viridiplantae; Streptophyta; Magnoliopsida; Poales; Poaceae
Description: long non-coding RNA (HVUL_LNC006381)
Source: RNAcentral